CACCGGCGGCCCGAGUGGUGGUCGUUAUUAUUGGGUCUAAAGGGUCCGUAGCCGGUUUGGUCAGUCCUCCGGGAAAUCUGAUAGCUCAACUAUUAGGCUUUCGGAGGAUACUGCCAGACUUGGAACCGGGGGAGGUAAGAGGUACUACAGGGGUAGGAGUGAAAUCUUGUAAUCCCUGUGGGACCACCUGUGGCGAAGGCGUCUUACCAGAACGGGUUCGACGGUGAGGGACGAAAGCUGGGGGCACGAACCGG
RNAcentral lists this ribosomal RNA (254 nucleotides) under uncultured bacterium. RNAcentral's name for it is "partial 16S ribosomal RNA". It matches the Rfam family "Archaeal small subunit ribosomal RNA", at positions 474 to 727 of the family's 1478-position model. The record is from RNAcentral.